This 658-nucleotide ribosomal RNA is filed under the name Limosilactobacillus mucosae. RNAcentral's name for it is "bacterial SSU rRNA". It matches the Rfam family "Bacterial small subunit ribosomal RNA", at positions 47 to 677 of the family's 1533-position model. The record is from RNAcentral. Lineage: Bacteria; Bacillati; Bacillota; Bacilli; Lactobacillales; Lactobacillaceae.
CCACUGAAUUGUUACGUUGCCUUUGCCACGAGCACGUUGGACGAUUGGACUUACCCUUGAGUGGAGGACGGAUGAGUAACACGUGGGUAACCUGCCCCAAAGCGGGGAGAUAACAUUUGGCAAACAGAUGCUAAUACCGCAUAACAAUUUGAAUCUCAUGAUACAUAUUUAGAAGAUGGUGUCAGCUAUCACUUUGGGAUGGACCUGCGGUGCAUUAGCUUGUUGGUAGGGUAACGGCCUACCAAGGCUGUGAUGCGUAACCGAGUUGAGAGACUGAUCGGCCACAAUGGAACUGAGACACGGUCCAUACUCCUACGGGAGGCAGCAGUAAGGAAUCUUCCACAAUGGGCGCAAGCCUGAUGGAGCAACACCGCGUGAGUGAAGAAGGGUUUCCGCUCGUAAAGCUCUGUUGUUAGAGAAGAACGUGCGUGAGAGCAACUGUUCACGCAGUGACGGUAUCUAACCAGAAAGUCACGGCUAACUACGUGCCAGCAGCCGCGGUAAUACGUAGGUGGCAAGCGUUAUCCGGAUUGAUUGGGCGUAAAGCGAGCGCAGGCGGUUUGAUAAGACUGAUGUGACAGCCUUUGGCUUAACCAAAGAAGUGCAUCGCAGACUGUCAUACUUGAGUGCAAAAAAAGACAGUGUAACUGCAUGUGUA